CGGCCGCGGUAUCCUGACCGUGCAAAGGUAGCAUAAUCACUUGUUCCUUAAUUAGGGACUAGCAUGAAUGGCCAAACGAGGAUUCAACUGUCUCUUAUUUUUAAUCAGUGAAAUUGACCUUUCAGUGAAGAGGCUGAAAUACUAAAAUAAGACGAGAAGACCCUAUGGAGCUUAAAUUAAAAGUUUAACUUUACUUCCAUCAGCCUAAUGGCAUAACACAAAAAUUUUAAACUCUAAAUUUCGGUUGGGGUGACCUCGGAGAACAAAAAA
Molecule: ribosomal RNA, 270 nt
Filed under: Melomys cervinipes (faun-footed melomys)
Lineage: Eukaryota; Metazoa; Chordata; Mammalia; Rodentia; Muridae
Description: partial 16S ribosomal RNA
Rfam family: Bacterial large subunit ribosomal RNA
Source: RNAcentral